GCUAUGAGCAAACAUUUAACAGUUGGGGUUCUCACACAUUUGUGCAGUUAUCAGCGGGCUUUCACAGCCAUUGUUGUGUGAGAUGCACGUGCAUGUGUGUUCUUGUUCAUAAGUCUUGUAUCCUUGCCUUUGGCCUGGACUGUAAUUAACGCCCAUGGGAACAGGGUGUUUUCUGGUGUCUCCCCUAUAUUGCCCAGUGCAGAGACGCUUCUAGCAGGUGAUCAGUUUGUACACGUGCAUUGACGAGUAAAGCAAAGACACUGGAUGACUUAUACUAACGGGACUUAGGGGGUGAGGUGCACCCCCCAUCCCUGUGGUAUCGUGGGUAGCGGCCGCCCAGACCAAACCCACAAGCUCCUGUCUAAGCCUGCUCCUCGCUCAGCCGUCCCACCCACAACUGCUGAUCCUGGGAAAGGUAUGCCCGCACCCCCUGCUUCUCUUGUGUCUCUGUCUGUGCCUGACUCUCCUUUUCCAUCUUCUACGUGGAGCUUUGCAGGUUCUCCCUGAACUACUGCCUCUUCUCAGGCCCUUCACCCCUUUUGAUUUUCCUCUCCGGGGAGGAGCCAGAUGCAGGCAUCUGAGCAGCUGCUGGAGAGAGAAGGACUUGGAGCUGGAGGGACUGGCCUCCCAGCACCACUUCAUUUGGACUGUCCUUCCCCCGAGGCCCAGCUGCACACCAGGAGUGCCGGGACCCGCGCUGGACCUCUGGGGAGCUGCAGGGUGAGCCCUCAACUGUCCUCAGGUGGGGCGGGCCUGAGGAAAGUCUCUCCACAGCCACGUCUGGGGUCUGCUGUGCACGGAGCUGCAGGGUUUAGGGCUAGAACAGGUUUUGAAUUUUUUACCCUCUGCAUGUAUAACUUAAAGAAAAAAAAAUCAGCAUGCUUCAAAGCAAAAAGGAAAAUGCCCUGGUGCUUGCAAAUAAACACGGAAGAAAGAGAAAGGAGUUUCUCGGCUCCUCCCUUUCCCCACGUGGCCAGCCCUCUCGGCAGUUCCCCUGUGCAGGGGAUCCUUUCUGGUCACCGGGGAAGGAGAGAGUGACAAGUCUGCGGGGGAGCUGCAGUAAUACAUCCCUCAAUAACGCGCACCUCACGGGGCGCCUGGGUGGCUCAGUCGGUUAAGCGUCCGACUUUGGCUCAGGUCACGAUCUCUCUGUUUGUGAGUUCGAGCCCCGCGUCGGGCUCUGUGCUGACAGCUUAGAGCCUGGAGCCUGCUUUGGAUUCUGUGUCUCCCUCUCUCUCUGCCCCUCCCCUGCUCAUGCUCUGUCUCUCUCUGUCUAAAAACUAAAUAAAACAUUAAAAAAAAAAUUAAAAAAAAAGAAC
This 1319-nucleotide long non-coding RNA is filed under the name Felis catus (domestic cat). Its description in RNAcentral is "lncRNA (ENSFCAG00000042146.2)". Lineage: Eukaryota; Metazoa; Chordata; Mammalia; Carnivora; Felidae. The record is from RNAcentral.